CGCGCGGGUAACAGCCCGCGUGGAUGACGGUACCGUAAGAAGAAGCACCGGCUAACUACGUGCCAGCAGCCGCGGUAAUACGUAGGGUGCGAGCGUUAAUCGGAAUUACUGGGCGUAAAGCGUGCGCAGGCGGCGCCGCAAGUCGAGUGUGAAAUCCCCGAGCUUAACUUGGGAAUUGCGCUCGAAACUACGGUGCUGGAGUGUGGCAGAGGGAGGUGGAAUUCCACGUGUAGCGGUGAAAUGCGUAGAGAUGUGGAGGAACACCGAUGGCGAAGGCAGCCUCCUGGGCCAACACUGACGCUCAUGCAACGAAAGCGUGGGGAGCAAACAGGAUUAGAUACCCUGGUAGUCCACGCCCUAAACGAUGAUGACUAGUUGUUGGGGGAGUUAAAUCCCUUAGUAACGCAGCUAACGCGUGAAGUCAUCCGCCUGGGGAGUACGGUCGCAAGAUUAA
This 454-nucleotide ribosomal RNA is filed under the name uncultured Pseudomonadota bacterium. RNAcentral describes it as "bacterial SSU rRNA". It matches the Rfam family "Bacterial small subunit ribosomal RNA", at positions 451 to 897 of the family's 1533-position model. Lineage: Bacteria; Pseudomonadati; Pseudomonadota. The record is from RNAcentral.